GUCCACACUGUAAACGAUGAUCACUCGAUGUUGGCGAUACACAGCCAGCGUCUUAGCAAAAGCGAUAAGUGAUCCACCUGGGGAGUACGCCGGCAACGGUGAAACUCAAAGGAAUUGACGGUGGUCCGCACAAGCGGUGGAGCAUGUGGUUUAAUUCGAUGAUACGCGAGGAACCUUACCUGGGCUAGAAUGCCCUUGACGGGUCCAGAGACGGAUCGUUCCGCAAGGACAAGGAGCAAGGUGCUGCAUGGCUGUCGU
RNAcentral lists this ribosomal RNA (258 nucleotides) under uncultured bacterium. Its description in RNAcentral is "partial 16S ribosomal RNA". It matches the Rfam family "Bacterial small subunit ribosomal RNA", at positions 793 to 1055 of the family's 1533-position model. The record is from RNAcentral.